RNAcentral lists this ribosomal RNA (253 nucleotides) under uncultured prokaryote. RNAcentral describes it as "partial 16S ribosomal RNA". It matches the Rfam family "Bacterial small subunit ribosomal RNA", at positions 525 to 777 of the family's 1533-position model. The record is from RNAcentral.
ACGAACCGUCCGAACGUUACUCGGAAUCACUGGGCUUAAAGGGUGCGUAGGCCGCGCGGAGGGUGGGAUGUGAAAUCCCCCGGCUCAACCGGGGAAUAGCGUCCCAAACCGCCGUGCUCGAGGGAGACAGAGGUGAGCGGAACUGAUGGUGGAGCGGUGAAAUGCGUUGAUAUCAUCAGGAACACCAGUGGCGAAAGCGGCUCACUGGGUCUUUCCUAACGCUGAGGCACGAAAGCUAGGGGAGCGAACGGGA